AAUUAAAUUUAAUACUGAGUGGACAUGGGGUGAUACUGUGUAAUUUUUGACUCAUAGUACGACCCAUGUUGGCUCAGUAAUAAAUUACAUU
RNAcentral lists this microRNA precursor (91 nucleotides) under Tribolium castaneum (red flour beetle). Its description in RNAcentral is "microRNA tca-mir-3851g precursor (tca-mir-3851g-1)". The record is from miRBase by way of RNAcentral. Lineage: Eukaryota; Metazoa; Arthropoda; Insecta; Coleoptera; Tenebrionidae.